Molecule: ribosomal RNA, 496 nt
Filed under: uncultured bacterium
Lineage: Bacteria
Description: partial 16S ribosomal RNA
Rfam family: Bacterial small subunit ribosomal RNA
Source: RNAcentral
GAUGAACGCUGGCGGCGUGCCUAAUACAUGCAAGUCGAGCGAACGGACGAGAAGCUUGCUUUUCUGAUGUUAGCGGCGGACGGGUGAGUAACACGUGGAUAACCUACCUAUAAGACUGGGAUAACUUCGGGAAACCGGAGCUAAUACCGGAUAAUAUUUUGAACCGCAUGGUUCAAAAGUGAAAGACGGUCUUGCUGUCACUUAUAGAUGAAUCCGCGCUGCAUUAGCUAGUUGGUAAGGUAACGGCUUACCAAGGCAACGAUGCAUAGCCGACCUGAGAGGGUGAUCGGCCACACUGGAACUGAGACACGGUCCAGACUCCUACGGGAGGCAGCAGUAGGGAAUCUUCCGCAAUGGGCGAAAGCCUGACGGAGCAACGCCGCGUGAGUGAUGAAGGUCUUCGGAUCGUAAAACUCUGUUAUUAGGGAAGAACAUAUGUGUAAGUAACUGUGCACAUCUUGACGGUACCUAAUCAGAAAGCCACGGCUAACUACGU